CAGCAGCCGCGGUAAUACGAAGGGGGCUAGCGUUGUUCGGAUUUACUGGGCGUAAAGCGCACGUAGGCGGACUUUUAAGUCAGGGGUGAAAUCCCGGGGCUAAACCCCGGAACUGCCUUUGAUACUGGAAGUCUUGAGUAUGGUAGAGGUGAGUGGAAUUCCGAGUGUAGAGGUGAAAUUCGUAGAUAUUCGGAGGAACACCAGUGGCGAAGGCGGCUCACUGGACCAUUACUGACGCUGAGGUGCGAAAGCGUGGGGAGCAAACAGGAUUAGAUACCCGUGUAGUCCCUGUCUCUUAUAC
This 301-nucleotide ribosomal RNA is filed under the name uncultured bacterium. Its description in RNAcentral is "partial 16S ribosomal RNA". It matches the Rfam family "Bacterial small subunit ribosomal RNA", at positions 509 to 807 of the family's 1533-position model. The record is from RNAcentral.